GAUGAACGCUGGCGGCGUGCCUAAUACAUGCAAGUCGAGCGAACGGACGAGAAGCUUGCUUUUCUGAUGUUAGCGGCGGACGGGUGAGUAACACGUGGAUAACCUACCUAUAAGACUGGGAUAACUUCGGGAAACCGGAGCUAAUACCGGAUAAUAUUUUGAACCGCAUGGUUCAAAAGUGAAAGAAGGUCUUGCUGUCACUUAUAGAUGGAUCCGCGCUGCAUUAGCUAGUUGGUAAGGUAACGGCGUACCAAGGCAACGAUGCAUAGCCGACCUGAGAGGGUGAUCGGCCACACUGGAACUGAGACGCGGUGCAGAAUCCUACGGGAGGAAGCAGUAGGGAAUCUUCCGCAAUGGGCGAAAGCAUGAUGGUGCAACGACGCGUGAGUGAUGAUGGUCUUCGGAUCGUAGAACUCUGUUAUUAGGGAAGAACAUAUGUGUAAGUAACUGUGCAUAUCUUGACGGUACCUAAUCAGAAAGCCACGGCUAACUACGUG
This 497-nucleotide ribosomal RNA is filed under the name uncultured bacterium. RNAcentral describes it as "partial 16S ribosomal RNA". It matches the Rfam family "Bacterial small subunit ribosomal RNA", at positions 28 to 507 of the family's 1533-position model. The record is from RNAcentral.